AUGAUGAUGCCGGCGCUGCAUGUACGCCAGCCGAGCGGCGUCUCCGCCGCGGGUUCAGCCUUGACGCCGAGCAGCGAUGGAGUGCCAGAGGAUUGGGAGGAAGAACGCGAUGAGGAAGAAGAGGAGGAGGAGCCGAACCUCCUCGGCGCCCAUUCCCCGUCGCAUCAGCGGUGCGUCGGGGCGGCCGUCCUCGUCCGUCGCGUCGGUGGUGCGUCAGGGCGGCCGUCCUCGCCAUGGCGGGUUGUUGCCGCCCUCGAGGUGCGUCAGCACACCGUCGAGCGUGCGGCCGGGGACGCCCCACCAGAGGUGGCGGCCCUCGCUGUUCUUGAUGCCGCCGACCACCGGCGCCCCGUUGGUGGACGCCAGCCGCUGCUGCUGGCGGCACUCGAAGUACGCCACCCAAGCCGCGGUGUUGUCGGCGGCGUACUGGGGAAGGGAAUGCUCGUCGUCGGUGAGGGAUCCGCGCGCGAUCUCGACCUCGUCGGUGAAGUACGACGGCUUGGUGACGGCGUCGGGCAACGGGGGAAUGGGCACUCCCCUAUUGCUGAGCCUCUAGCCCGUCGGCCGGGCGCGCAUGUCUGGCGGUGCCGGGAUGUUCGCCUGGAACAGGAGUCAGGACUCCUGUUCGCGGAGAGAACGGCGGCCGAAGCCGUUAGCCGCCGCCUCGUCUCCGGGGAAUCGCUCGGCCAUCGGGGUGAGGAAGUGGCUGGGAAGAAGAGAUCGGCGGGAGAGCGGGAGUGCUGCGGUGGCACUCCAACGCAGGCGAGCGAGGUCAUAUAUAGCCGCGCCGUCCAUGUGUACGCGCCUGAGGGAGGAAAGGUGUCGGCACGUCUCGGCGCGCCGCCCCGUGACGCGCCGCCCGUGAGGAAUCAAUGGCAAAGCUGA
Molecule: ribosomal RNA, 885 nt
Filed under: Triticum aestivum (bread wheat)
Lineage: Eukaryota; Viridiplantae; Streptophyta; Magnoliopsida; Poales; Poaceae
Description: partial small subunit ribosomal RNA
Source: RNAcentral